AAUGAACGCUGGCGGCGUGCUUAACACAUGCAAGUCGUACGAGAACAGUUGGCUUCGGCUGACUUAGUAAAGUGGCGCACGGGUGAGUAACGCGUGGGUAAUCUACCCUCGAGUCUGGAAUAACGUCUCGAAAGAGGCACUAAUACGGGAUAAGACCACGGGGACUUCGGUUCCAGGGGUAAAAGGUCCUUCACGGGAUCGCUUGAGGAUGAGCCUGCGUGACAUUAGAUUGAUGGUGGGGUAAAGGCCUACCAUAUUGUCUACGAUGUCUAGCUGGUCUGAGAGGAUGAUCAGCCACACUGGGACUGGAACACGGCCCAGACUCCUACGGGAGGCAGCAGUGAGGAAUUUUGCGCAAUGGGGGCAACCCUGACGCAGCAACGCCGCGUGAGUGAUGAAGGCCUUUUGGUUGUAAAGCUCUGUCGCCUGGAAAGAAACCUGGAGAUAGGAAAUGAUCUUCAGCUGACGGUACCAGGAAAGGAAGGACCGGCUAACUCCGUGCCAGCAGCCGCGGUAAAAC
RNAcentral lists this ribosomal RNA (520 nucleotides) under uncultured bacterium. Its description in RNAcentral is "bacterial SSU rRNA". It matches the Rfam family "Bacterial small subunit ribosomal RNA", at positions 29 to 526 of the family's 1533-position model. The record is from RNAcentral.